This 376-nucleotide ribosomal RNA is filed under the name uncultured Pseudomonas sp. RNAcentral's name for it is "bacterial SSU rRNA". It matches the Rfam family "Bacterial small subunit ribosomal RNA", at positions 1008 to 1382 of the family's 1533-position model. Lineage: Bacteria; Pseudomonadati; Pseudomonadota; Gammaproteobacteria; Pseudomonadales; Pseudomonadaceae. The record is from RNAcentral.
GGAUUGGUGCCUUCGGGAACUCUGACACAGGUGCUGCAUGGCUGUCGUCAGCUCGUGUCGUGAGAGUGUUGGGUUAAGUCCCGUAACGAGCGCAACCCUUGUCCUUAGUUACCAGCACGUUAUGGUGGGCACUCUAAGGAGACUGCCGGUGACAAACCGGAGGAAGGUGGGGAUGACGUCAAGUCAUCAUGGCCCUUACGGCCUGGGCUACACACGUGCUACAAUGGUCGGUACAAAGGGUUGCCAAGCCGCGAGGUGGAGCUAAUCCCAUAAAACCGAUCGUAGUCCGGAUCGCAGUCUGCAACUCGACUGCGUGAAGUCGGAAUCGCUAGUAAUCGUGAAUCAGAAUGUCACGGUGAAUACGUUCCCGGGCCUU